AGAAAAGCUAAAUUAAAGCUAUCUCAUUCUAUAUUCACUCUGUGUACUUUUAUGCAGAAUUAAGCUAAAUAAGAGAAAUGCGGCAAACUGGAAAAUUCAGGAUGAAAAAGAAAAAGGAUCUCUCACAUGGAUGAAGUGAGUUAUUUUAUUAUUUUGUGUUAAAAAGAUAAAUAGAAAUCCUAACAGUUGAAAAUAUUUUCUUAGGGAGUAAAAUAUACAGCGAUAAAUACAAAAUACAAAAAAUGCGAGACUAUUGCAGCGUUACAUUUUAGUGGUGUAUCUGUAAGAUCUGCAAGGGGCUCUCCAUAGUAGCAGAUAUUUCUCCAUGAAGCUGCUAGAAGAGGGGACUAUACCAUUUAGCACUGCUAUUGCACUGGUAAAUUAAAAUGUUAUUAUCGAGUGAUGAAUAAUUAAUUAAACAGGGCAGAAAUAGCUAUUACCCUAUACCUAAAAGCUGAUUUUUUUACAGGCAAAACAUCUGAUUUGAACAC
Long non-coding RNA from Neopelma chrysocephalum (saffron-crested tyrant-manakin), 491 nucleotides. RefSeq lists it as uncharacterized. The transcript has 4 exons. The record is from RefSeq and is a predicted model, not a curated record. NCBI's taxonomy places the organism in Eukaryota, Metazoa, Chordata, Aves, Passeriformes, Pipridae.